GCAGGCCUAACACAUGCAAGUCGAGCGGAUGAGAAGAGCUUGCUCUUCGAUUCAGCGGCGGACGGGUGAGUAAUGCCUAGGAAUCUGCCUGGUAGUGGGGGACAACGUUUCGAAAGGAACGCUAAUACCGCAUACGUCCUACGGGAGAAAGCAGGGGACCUUCGGGCCUUGCGCUAUCAGAUGAGCCUAGGUCGGAUUAGCUAGUUGGUGAGGUAAUGGCUCACCAAGGCGACGAUCCGUAACUGGUCUGAGAGGAUGAUCAGUCACACUGGAACUGAGACACGGUCCAGACUCCUACGGGAGGCAGCAGUGGGGAAUAUUGGACAAUGGGCGAAAGCCUGAUCCAGCCAUGCCGCGUGUGUGAAGAAGGUCUUCGGAUUGUAAAGCACUUUAAGUUGGGAGGAAGGGCAUUAACCUAAUACGUUAGUGUUUUGACGUUACCGACAGAAUAAGCACCGGCUAACUCUGUGCCAGCAGCCGCGGUAAUACAGAGGGUGCAAGCGUUAAUCGGAAUUACUGGGCGUAAAGCGCGCGUAGGUGGUUUGUUAAGUUGGAUGUGAAAGCCCCGGGCUCAACCUGGGAACUGCAUCCAAAACUGGCAAGCUAGAGUACGGUAGAGGGUUGGUGGAAUUUCCUGUGUAGCGGUGAAAUGCGUAGAUAUAGGGAAGGAACACCAGUGGCGAAGG
This 686-nucleotide ribosomal RNA is filed under the name Pseudomonas sp. RNAcentral describes it as "bacterial SSU rRNA". It matches the Rfam family "Bacterial small subunit ribosomal RNA", at positions 42 to 721 of the family's 1533-position model. Lineage: Bacteria; Pseudomonadati; Pseudomonadota; Gammaproteobacteria; Pseudomonadales; Pseudomonadaceae. The record is from RNAcentral.